RNAcentral lists this ribosomal RNA (876 nucleotides) under uncultured bacterium. RNAcentral describes it as "bacterial SSU rRNA". It matches the Rfam family "Bacterial small subunit ribosomal RNA", at positions 24 to 916 of the family's 1533-position model. The record is from RNAcentral.
UCAGGACGAACGCUGGCGGCGUGCUUAACACAUGCAAGUCGAGCGGAAAGGCCCUUCGGGGUACUCGAGCGGCGAACGGGUGAGUAACACGUGAGCAACCUGCCCUUGGCUUUGGGAUAACCCUCGGAAACGGGGGCUAAUACCGAAUAUCCAUCUUUCAUUGCAUGGUGGUUGGUGGAAAGUUUUUCGGCCAGGGAUGGGCUCGCGGCCUAUCAGCUUGUUGGUGGGGUGAUGGCCUACCAAGGCGACGACGGGUAGCCGGCCUGAGAGGGCGACCGGCCACACUGGGACUGAGACACGGCCCAGACUCCUACGGGAGGCAGCAGUGGGAAUAUUGCACAAUGGGCGGAAGCCCGAUGCAGCGACGCCGCGUGAGGGAUGACGGCCUUCGGGUUGUAAACCUCUUUCAGCAGGGACGAAGCGAAAGUGACGGUACCUGCAGAAGAAGCGCCGGCCAACUACGUGCCAGCAGCCGCGGUAAGACGUAGGGCGCGAGCGUUGUCCGGAUUUAUUGGGCGUAAAGGGCUCGUAGGCGGUUUGUCGCGUCGGGAGUGAAAACCUUGGGCUUAACUCAGGGCUUGCUUUCGAUACGGGCAGACUAGAGGUAUGCAGGGGAGAACGGAAUUCCUGGUGUAGCGGUGAAAUGCGCAGAUAUCAGGAGGAACACCGGUGGCGAAGGCGGUUCUCUGGGCAUGAUCUGACGCUGAGGAGCGAAAGUGUGGGGAGCGAACAGGAUUAGAUACCCUGGUAGUCCACACCGUAAACGUUGGGCGCUAGGUGUGGGAUCCAUUCCACGGGUUCCGUGCCGCAGCUAACGCAUUAAGCGCCCCGCCUGGGGAGUACGGCCGCAAGGCUAAAACUCAAAGGAAUUGACGG